RNAcentral lists this transfer RNA (67 nucleotides) under Marmota monax (woodchuck). RNAcentral describes it as "tRNA.Ala". It matches the Rfam family "tRNA", at positions 6 to 65 of the family's 71-position model. Rfam says of the family: Transfer RNA (tRNA) molecules are approximately 80 nucleotides in length. Their secondary structure includes four short double-helical elements and three loops (D, anti-codon, and T loops). The record is from RNAcentral. Lineage: Eukaryota; Metazoa; Chordata; Mammalia; Rodentia; Sciuridae.
GGCUGUGGCUCAGUGGCAGAGCACUUGCCCAGCACGCAUGAGGCCCUGGGUUCAAUCCUCAGCACCA